Molecule: ribosomal RNA, 440 nt
Filed under: uncultured bacterium
Lineage: Bacteria
Description: partial 16S ribosomal RNA
Rfam family: Bacterial small subunit ribosomal RNA
Source: RNAcentral
CCUACGGUAGGCAGCAGUAGGGAAUAUUGCUCAAUGGGGGCAACCCUGAAGCAGCAACGCCGCGUGGAGGAUGAAGGUUUUCGGAUGGUAAACUCCUUUUGUUAGAGAAGAUAAUGACGGUAUCUACCGCAUAAGCACCGGCUAACUCCGAUCCAGCAGCCGCGGUAAUACGGAGGGUGCCAGCGUUACUCGGAAGCACUGGGCGGAAAGAGCGCGUAGGCGGGAUAGCAAGUCAGUUGUGAAAUCCUAUGGCUUAACCAUAGAACUGCAUUUGAAACUGUUAUUCUAGAGUAUGGGAGAGGUAGGUGGAAUUCUUGGGGUAGGGGUAAAAUCCGUAGAGAUCAAGAGGAAUACUCAUUGCGAAGGCGACCUGCUAGAACAUAACUGACGCUGAUGCGCGAAAGCGUGGGGAGCAAACAGGAUUAGAUACCCUGGUAGUC